CAUGUAUUCUUUGAGGGCCGACCUAGCUAAAUUCAGAGGAUGAAUCAAGAUAUUUUUUAAAAUACCUUAAACUGUGUUCUAGAACAUGGAGAGAGGUGUGACUUAAGUCAAUAACAAAUCUAUGUGCCCCUGCCCAUUCUGGAAUCUUGAAAUCCUGUAGGUAAUAAUCCUUAUAGGAACCUUUCAUCAAUCACUUAAGAAUUCUCCAAUUUCUUUUAACUCUCUUUCCCCCACCUAGAACCUGUUUUUCAUUCAAGCAAUCAUGUAAAAUGGAAUCACUAAUGUUGAUAAAUCAAUGAUCACAGAAUAUAGAGCUGAAAAAUGACAGAAACCAUUUAAUAUGACUUCUUCAUUCUAGUGAUGAGAGUAAUAUGCAUAGAGAGGUGGUUUAUUCAUACCUGAAUAUAGAGAUGUAGUAGAAAGAGCAUUACAACCAAGGUUCUUCAGUUCAAAAUCUAGUGCUCUUACCACCACACUGCACUGUCUCUGAUCCACUGAAAAUGAAGAGAAAGCUGUAGACUGUACUUUGGAGCAUUAGUACUAGGCAGGCAGGCCAGCCCAGCUGAAGCAGCAGGCCAUCCAAGGGAGAAAUGGGAAGCAGAAUUGAUCAGGCCCAUGCUCCUGCCAGUUCCAGUGCUGACACUUCACAAAUCGAGCAUUUACAGACAAAGAGUUCUCCAAAAGCAGAGAGCACGUUUGGGAGGUACUUGGUCCCUCUUGCAGCAGAGGUUCCGGUGAAUCUUUGUUCAGGAGAGGUUGGAGGGGGCUCGUUACUUCUUUACGAGGACUUCACGCAGAACCCUGCAAUCUGGAGGCUGCGGGAGGAGGUCACCCAGCCCUUAAGAUAUUAAUGAAUCACCAAGAGCGCCAUGUUGAGAAGGACUGAAAAGCCUGCUUUGGAAACAUACACACAUACACUUGUAUUACGUGCCUGCAUUUAACAAUGCAUUCAUAUGUAGAUGCAAAUACACACAUGUUAAUAUGCAUUCUCCAAACACAGUACACAUACAUGUGCAUGUGCACUCACAUGUUUAUAUGUAUACAUACGACGUCACGCAUCCCUUUUUCUUGUGCUUAGCACGUUUUUGUGCGUGGACAGUCGCUGCCUCCCUCCAAUUUCCUCUUUAAGCAUCUGUGUUUCAUGGGAAGGAGGUUGAGCUGAGGCGGCCGCUUCUCCUCCAGACUCUUUAAAAGACAUUCUUCAACCUGGGCCUUUGGGAUGAGCUUGUCUUGGCCAUUUUACUGCCGGGAUGAGUCCAGUGAGAGAGCGCUUUGGUUCUUCUGCCCCACCACACACGCGGCUGGGCCUCCCAGCUGGAGGGGGCGGUAGUUAGGGAAGUCCCUUUGCCGAAGCAGACGAGCACACGCUCUGCGUCUUAGAGCUCUGGGACGCUGAAGUGACCUUUCCAAGGCCACCUAAGCAGAGGCUCGGUCCUAUGUAGUGCUCCGUUCUGCCUCUCCACAGCCCCCUAACCAGCGGUGGGGGCACAUAACGAAGCCACGUCCGCCUCCUGAGUAAAGGGAAAGAGCUCAUUGGAGCCCAGCUUUGCAGACAGACUUUCUCCCUUAAUAUUGCCAGUGCCCCUGUGCGUGUGUGUGUGUGUGCGUGUGUGUGU
Long non-coding RNA from Monodelphis domestica (gray short-tailed opossum), 1616 nucleotides. The record is from Ensembl. NCBI's taxonomy places the organism in Eukaryota, Metazoa, Chordata, Mammalia, Didelphimorphia, Didelphidae.